GAAAACAUACUAUUACUACUAUACCAGUUCUCGUCCGAUCACUGAAGUUGAGCACGGUUAGUACUUGGAUGGGUGAUCGCUUGGGAACACCGUGUGAUGUUGUCC
This 105-nucleotide ribosomal RNA is filed under the name Cyphomyrmex costatus. The record is from RNAcentral. Lineage: Eukaryota; Metazoa; Arthropoda; Insecta; Hymenoptera; Formicidae.